GAUGAAGAACGCAGCGAAAUGCGAUAAGUAAUGUGAAUUGCAGAAUUCAGUGAAUCAUCGAAUCUUUGAACGCACAUUGCGCCCGCCAGUAUUCUGGCGGGCAUGCCUGUUCGAGCGUCAUUACAACCCUCAGGCCCCCGGGCCUGGCGUUGGGGAUCGGCGGAGCCCCCCGUGGGCACACGCCGUCCCCCAAAUGCAGUGGCGGUCCCGCCGCAGCUUCCAUCGCGUAGUAGCUAACACCUCGAGACUGGAGAGCGGCGCGGCCACGCCGUAAAACACCCAACUCUUCUGAAGUUGACCUCGAAUCAGGUAGGAAUACCCGCUGAACUUAAGCAUAUCAAUAAGCGGAGGA
RNAcentral lists this unclassified non-coding RNA (352 nucleotides) under soil metagenome. Its description in RNAcentral is "partial contains 5.8S ribosomal RNA, internal transcribed spacer 2, and large subunit ribosomal RNA". The stretch from base 1 to 120 matches the Rfam family "5.8S ribosomal RNA", at positions 35 to 154 of the family's 154-position model. The record is from RNAcentral.